UCUACGGGUGGCAGCAGUGGGGAAUAUUGGGCAAUGGGCGCAAGCCUGACCCAGCAACGCCGCGUGAAGGAAGAAGGCUUUCGGGUUGUAAACUUCUUUUCUCAGGGACGAAGCAAGUGACGGUACAUGAGGAAUAAGCCACGGCUAACUACGUGCCAGCAGCCGCGGUAAUACGUAGGUGGCAAGCGUUAUCCGGAUUUACUGGGUGUAAAGGGCGUGUAGGCGGGAAAGGAAGUCAGAUGUGAAAACCAUGGGCUCAACCUGUGGCCUGCAUUUGAAACUGUUUUUCUUGAGUACUGGGGAGGCAGACGGAAUUCCUGGUGUAGCGGUGAAAUGCGUAGAUAUUAGGAGGAACACCAGUGGCGAAGGCGGUCUGCUGGACAGCAACUGACGCUGAGGCGCGAAAGCGUGGGGAGCAAACAGGAUUAGAUACCCCUGUAGUC
RNAcentral lists this ribosomal RNA (443 nucleotides) under uncultured bacterium. RNAcentral describes it as "partial 16S ribosomal RNA". It matches the Rfam family "Bacterial small subunit ribosomal RNA", at positions 338 to 795 of the family's 1533-position model. The record is from RNAcentral.